UCUAUUUCAGAAUAAUUUAUUUCUGUUUUUUUUCUGUCAUGAAGGAGAUUGUUAGAUCAAGAGAUUAUAAACACAUUACAAGGCAUAUGAUAGCUUUUUUAAAGUCCACAGAAAUAAUUAGUCUUGAGUCAUAACUUUCUUGUUCAAGGAAUGAUAAUUCUUGUGCAAUGAAGAUCUGUGUGUCUGUACUCUCUAAUGCUUUUUGCAGUUUGGUUCAGAUGGAUUACCAUUGCCACUUUGUCAUUUUUCUGUUCUUCACAGGUAUUUCCAGCUCUACCAAGCAUAACAAAUGAAUCAGGACUCAGAUAAACUAACAUAUGGCUUUUUUUUGUUUAUUUUAAGGGGGUUUUUUGGUCAGAAAAAAAAAUCUUGUGUGGACUUCUUAAGAAACUGCAACAGAAAACACAGCAUCACUGGUUCCUUUUUAUAUUUGUCAUUGAGAAGAGAACAUGUUAUAGCUGUGACCACAGGUGCAAGUGCAGUGUCAAUUCCAUUUCAUAAAUUACAACAUUUUACUUGGGAGGAACUGAAUUAAUUCCAUGUUGCAUAAGAAGAUACAAUAGUGUUCACUUUUCUUAUACAUGCGGUGUAAUUUGGAAAGAGUCAUUAUACGUUUAUGAAGAUCUCGUAUUAAUUUCCACACAGCAAUAACAGAAAUAAAAAAAUACAAAAAUAAG
RNAcentral lists this long non-coding RNA (677 nucleotides) under Strigops habroptila (Kakapo). RNAcentral's name for it is "lncRNA (ENSSHBG00005009857.1)". Lineage: Eukaryota; Metazoa; Chordata; Aves; Psittaciformes; Psittacidae. The record is from RNAcentral.